AGAAGUUAAAGAUUAAAAUUGAAAUAAAAGAACAUUAUCACUAACUAAUUCAUGAAUGAAGUAUAUUACAGUUAGCAAAGAACUUCUUAGAAAUAACAAGAAAAAACCAUAAUAGUUUUUGGAGGAUACUAUUUAUCUAUCAAUUUAAUCCAUCACAUUUAUACUAAUAUAAGAUCAGCUCUCAAAUUGAAACAAACAUUUCAAUUAGUAAAAUAAAUAAGAUAAGCUAUUUAAAUAUGUAUGAGGGCCAAAUGUCCCAAAAAAAAAUCCAUGAGUUCAUUUUACACCCCUUUCAAUUGUGCCAAUUAUAUCCUAGAGUGUAGGUAUCAAUUAUAGUUAUUUCUAUUGUUGGCCCUUGUUUAGACAUGUAAUAAAUUUAAUUGGACAUGACAUGGCAAGCUGACAUACUAAUAUGACAUCCAAAAUAGACAUGCUAUAUCAACAUUUAUACAUCAUAAAAUGAAUAUGUCUGAUUAGCAGUUACCAUUUUUAUCGAUAUUUGUAAACUUUAGUUUUAAUAUAUUUUCUUUAUUUGUUUUAUGAAUGCUAUCCCAUCAUUGGCUUAUACCCAAAUGGAUCAAUGUAUAUAUCAUUCAGCCUUAGAUUGUGAAAAUCAUCAAAGGGUCAAACAUCACAAUCUAUUGCAUAAUCUAAGCUAAAGCAUAUAUACAUUAACAACAAG
RNAcentral lists this unclassified non-coding RNA (682 nucleotides) under Hevea brasiliensis (rubber tree). Lineage: Eukaryota; Viridiplantae; Streptophyta; Magnoliopsida; Malpighiales; Euphorbiaceae. The record is from RNAcentral.